RNAcentral lists this long non-coding RNA (491 nucleotides) under Setaria viridis. RNAcentral describes it as "long non-coding RNA (SVIR_LNC009589)". The record is from RNAcentral. Lineage: Eukaryota; Viridiplantae; Streptophyta; Magnoliopsida; Poales; Poaceae.
GAGUGGCGGCACAGCAGUGAGAAGAGGCAAAAACCCUAGCUCGAUUAGAUGUGUUUUCGGUAGAGGCCAAUAGGCACGAUCUCAUAUCGCGAUCGUGAUCUAAACCAAUUAGGCUUGCAUAUAUCUUGCUGACUUAAAGGCCAAAUAACUAAAAAAUAAAAUGGCAAAAGGAAACCGCGCCACCACAAGGCUGGAGGCCGAAUUUCGGUGGACCAUUCAUGCAGGUGUCACGCACCCGCGCCCGUCAGCCCGGCGAGGCGAGGCGUGGCAUGGUGAGCGUGCACGUGCGUGUGGAGUUUUACUUCUCUCCCCACACACAUAGCUUGGAAGAAUGGAGACAACCUCCAUAUUUAUGUUGGUCAUCCUGCUCCUCCAUUAGCAAUGUGGGACUAAAGGUUUGCACCACUCCAACCACUUGUUCAUGCCCACAUGGGCCUUUGAGAUUUAUUUGGAAUUUCUUUAGGCCAAGCCCAUUAUUUCAUCAAUCCCCC